CCUACGGGAGGCAGCAGUAGGGAAUAUUGCUCAAUGGGGGAAACCCUGAAGUAGCAACGCCGCGUGCAGGAUGAAGGUUUUCGGAUUUUAAACUUCUUUUGUUAGAGAAGAUAAUUACGGUAUCUAACGAAUAAGCACCGGCUAACUCCGUGCCAGCAGCCGCGGUAAUACGGAGGGUGCAAGCGUUACUCGGAAUCACUGGGCGUAAAGAGCGCGUAGGCGGGAUAGCAAGUCAGAUGUGAAAUCCUAUGGCUUAACCAUAGAACUGCAUUUGAAACUGUCAUUCUAGAGUAUGGGAGAGGUAGGUGGAAUUCGUGGUGUAGCGGUAAAAUGCGUAGAGAUCAAGAAGAAUACUCAUUGCGAAGGCGACCUGCUAGAACAUAACUGACGCUGAAGCGCGAAAGCGUGGGGAGCAAACAGGAUUAGAUACCCCAGUAGUC
This 440-nucleotide ribosomal RNA is filed under the name uncultured bacterium. RNAcentral describes it as "partial 16S ribosomal RNA". It matches the Rfam family "Bacterial small subunit ribosomal RNA", at positions 338 to 795 of the family's 1533-position model. The record is from RNAcentral.